GACGUAGGGCGCGAGCGUUGUCCGGAUUUAUUGGGCGUAAAGAGCUCGUAGGCGGCUUGUCGCGUCGACUGUGAAAACCCGCGGCUCAACUGCGGGCCUGCAGCCGAUACGGGCAGGCUAGAGUUCGGUAGGGGAGACUGGAAUUCCUGGUGUAGCGGUGAAAUGCGCAGAUAUCGGGAGGAACACCGGUGGCGAAGGCGGCGACCUGGGUAGAUACUGACGCUGAGGAGCGAAAGCAUGGGGAGCGAACAGG
RNAcentral lists this ribosomal RNA (253 nucleotides) under uncultured bacterium. RNAcentral's name for it is "partial 16S ribosomal RNA". It matches the Rfam family "Bacterial small subunit ribosomal RNA", at positions 524 to 776 of the family's 1533-position model. The record is from RNAcentral.